UGAGGAAUAUUGGUCAAUGGGCGAGAGCCUGAACCAGCCAAGUAGCGUGCAGGAUGACGGCCCUAUGGGUUGUAAACUGCUUUUAUGUGGGGAUAAAGUGCGUGACGUGUCAUGCAUUGCAGGUACCACAUGAAUAAGGACCGGCUAAUUCCGUGCCAGCAGCCGCGGUAAUACGGAAGGUCCGGGCGUUAUCUGGAUUUAUUGGGUUUAAAGGGAGCGUAGGCUGUCUAUUAAGCGUGUUGUGAAAUUUACCGGCUCAACCGGUGGCUUGCAGCGCGAACUGGUCGACUUGAGUAUGCAGGAAGUAGGCGGAAUUCAUGGUGUAGCGGUGAAAUGCGUAGAGAUUAGGAGGAACACCGGUGGCGAAAGCGGCUUUUUGGCCUGCAACUGACACUGAGGCGCGAAAGCGUGGGGAGCAAACAGG
This 424-nucleotide ribosomal RNA is filed under the name Verrucomicrobiota bacterium. RNAcentral describes it as "Verrucomicrobia bacterium partial 16S ribosomal RNA". It matches the Rfam family "Bacterial small subunit ribosomal RNA", at positions 355 to 776 of the family's 1533-position model. The record is from RNAcentral. Lineage: Bacteria; Pseudomonadati; Verrucomicrobiota.